Molecule: long non-coding RNA, 692 nt
Organism: Humulus lupulus (European hop)
Lineage: Eukaryota; Viridiplantae; Streptophyta; Magnoliopsida; Rosales; Cannabaceae
Exons: 2
Source: RefSeq, a predicted model, not a curated record
GGGUAAAUGUUGCAAACUUAGCUGAUAUGGAGCAAAGUCGUAUGCUUGCUAAUACAUUAGCUCAGAACAACGAUCCUAAAUUUCAUGUUUGUAAGCUAUGGUGUGCUGCAACUCUAUGAUGCUCUUGUUUUCAACAUGAAGAUAUUCUUCUUUAUUGCAUGGGAAGAAAAGUAAAGCACGAGGUCCCUGAAGAUUGGGUCUGUGAAUCAUGCCAAAGUGUCAGUGACUCGGUUUUGAUGGAAUCUGGGAAGAGAGAUGAAGUUGUCACAAUAGCAAUGAGCAAGGGGCAAUUUUCAAUUUCAUAGCUUCAUUCCAAGAAGAAAAAGCCAGUAGAAACUGGUAAAGUUAAGUUCAUUCCUCAUGAAGAAAUACUUGAAAGAAAUCCUUAAUAAUAAUAAAAAAUUGUGAUGCUGUGAAAUCAUUCUUGCUUGAAAAGAAAAAUGCUCAGGCAUUUUUUUUUGGUGUAGCACGCCUUGCUUUAAGGAAUACUCAAUGCUUCUUUGUGACUGGCACUUGUGGUUGUAGUUUUGAUAGUUUUUCAUGAGGGCCUCUUUGCUAUCUUUGUUGGUCUCUGUUUGUAGUUUUAUGUCUUAUAUGUACUAUCUUAGUCUGAGGCUGUCUAGACUGUAAUACAGUACAGGUGAUUUCAUAUCAUCUUUUUUUAAUACAAUCUUGUUUGGUUGGGAUUGAAA